RNAcentral lists this ribosomal RNA (262 nucleotides) under uncultured bacterium. RNAcentral's name for it is "partial 16S ribosomal RNA". It matches the Rfam family "Bacterial small subunit ribosomal RNA", at positions 338 to 617 of the family's 1533-position model. The record is from RNAcentral.
CCUACGGGACGCAGCAGUGGGGAAUAUUGCACAAUGGGGGGAACCCUGAUGCAGCGACGCCGCGUGAGUGAAGAAGUAUUUCGGUAUGUAAAGCUCUAUCCUCAUUUAAGAAGAUUACUUUACCUGACUAAGAAGCCCCGGCUAACUACGUGCCAGCAGCCGCGGUAAUACGUAGGUGGCAAGCGUUAUCCGUAUUUACUGGGUGUAAAGGGAUCGUAGACGGCAGGGCAAGUCUUUAGUUCAAGCCCGUGGCCCAACCCCG